GAAAGUAAAUAAGGGCGCAUGGCGGAUGCCUUGGCUCUCGGAGGCGAUGAAGGACGUGAUAAGCUGCGAUAAGCUUCGGGUAGGUGCAAAUGACCUUUGAUCCGAAGAUUUCCGAAUGGGACAACCCGGCAUUCUGAAGGAAUGUCAUCCAACUUGGUUGGAGGCUAACGCAGGGAACUGAAACAUCUUAGUACCUGCAGGAAAAGAAAAUAAAUAAUGAUUCCCCUAGUAGUGGCGAGCGAACGGGGAUUAGCCCAAACCACCCAUGUUACGGCAUGUGUGGGGUUGUAGGACCACGCUCUCGCAAGACAGUUAUUGAGAAGAAACGACUGGAAAGUCGUGCCAUAGACGGUGAUAGCCCGGUAUUCUAAGGUAACCGAAGCGUAGUGGUAUCCUGAGUAGCGCGGAGCACGAGGAAUUCUGCGUGAAUCAGCCGGGACCAUCCGGUAAGGCUAAAUACUCCCGAGAGACCGAUAGCGAACCAGUACUGUGAAGGAAAGGUGAAAAGCACUUCGAAUAGAAGAGUGAAAUAGUCCCUGAAACCAUGCGCCUACAAGCGGUCGGAGCAGCUUCAGCUGUGACGGCGUGCCUUUUGCAUAAUGAACCUACGAGUUACUUUUUCCGGCAAGGUUAAGCAUCUUGAGAUGUGGAUCCGAAGCGAAAGCGAGUCUGAACAGGGCGGAUAGUCGGAAGGAGUAGACGCGAAACCAAGUGAUCUACCCUUGGGCAGGUUGAAGGUUAGGUAACACUAACUGGAGGACCGAACCGAUAAGCGUUGAAAAGCUUCCGGAUGACCUGAGGGUGGGGGUGAAAGGCUAAUCAAACUUGGAGAUAGCUCGUACUCCCCGAAAUGCAUUUAGGUGCAGCCUUGAGAGUUACUAAUGUGAGGUAGAGCGACUGAUAAGAUGCGAGGGCUUCACCGCCUAUCAAGUCUUGAUAAACUCCGAAUGCGCAUUAGUUCUAUCUCAGGAGUGAGGGCAUGGGUGCUAAGGUCCAUGUCCUAAAGGAGAAGAAUCCAGACCAUCAGCUAAGGUCCCCAAAUAAACACUAAGUUGAACUAACGAAGUCAGAUUGCUAAGACAGCUAGGAUGUUGGCUUGGAAGCAGCCAUUCAUUUAAAGAGUGCGUAACAGCUCACUAGUCGAGGAGUUUGGCGUGGAUAAUAAUCGGGCAUAAGUGUUUUACCGAAGCUAUGGGAUCCUAACGGAUCGGUAGGGGAGCAUUCCACUCAGCGUUGAAGGCGAAGCGUGAGCUUUACUGGAGCGUGUGGAAAAGCAAAUGUAGGUAUAAGUAACGAUAAAGGGGGUGAGAAACCCCCUCGCCGAAAGACUAAGGUUUCCUGAUCAACGCUAAUCGGAUCAGGGUUAGUCGGGUCCUAAGGCUCAGCCGAACGGUGAGGCCGAUGGCAGAACAGGUUAAUAUUCCUGUACUACCUAUAGGAGUGAUGUGGAGACGGAGGAGUGACAACGCCGCGGACUGACGGAAUAGUCCGUUAAAGGGUGUAGAUGUUGAUUAUCCCAGGCAAAUCCGGGAUAAGAGUCGAACCUGACAGUAUACCAAUUUCCUCGGAAAACGGUAAUAGUGCGUGUAAACAUACUCCCAAGAAAAUCCGCUAAACUUAAUCUUAUAGGUACCCGUACCGUAAACGGACACACGUAGUCGGGUUGAAUAUACUCAGGCGCUUGAGUGAAUCACGGUUAAGGAACUAGGCAAAUUGACCCUGUAACUUCGGGAUAAAGGGUCCCUACCCGGUGACGGGAGGGCGCAGAGAAUAGGUCCAGGCAACUGUUUAACAAAAACACAGGGCUGUGCAAAAUUGAAAGAUCACGUAUACAGCCUGACACCUGCCCGGUGCUGGAAGGUUAAGAGGAGAUGUCAUCGCAAGAGAAGCAUUGAAUUGAAGCCCCAGUAAACGGCGGCCGUAACUAUAACGGUCCUAAGGUAGCGAAAUUCCUUGUCGGGUAAGUUCCGACC
This 1973-nucleotide ribosomal RNA is filed under the name human gut metagenome. RNAcentral's name for it is "bacterial LSU rRNA". It matches the Rfam family "Bacterial large subunit ribosomal RNA", at positions 1 to 1988 of the family's 2925-position model. The record is from RNAcentral.